AGUGAACGCUGGCGGUAGGCCUAACACAUGCAAGUCGAACGGCAGCACAGUAAGAGCUUGCUCUUACGGGUGGCGAGUGGCGGACGGGUGAGGAAUACAUCGGAAUCUACUUUUUCGGGGGGGAUAACGUAGGGAAACUUACGCUAAUACCGCAUACGACCUACGGGUGAAAGCAGGGGAUCUUCGGACCUUGCGCGAUUGAAUGAGCCGAUGUCGGGUUAGCUAGUUGGCGGGGUAAAGGCCCACCAAGGCGACGAUCCGUAGCUGGUCUGAGAGGAUGGUCAGCCACACUGGAACUGAGACACGGUCCAGACUCCUACGGGAGGCAGCAGUGGGGAAUAUUAGACAAUGGGCGCAAGCCUGAUCCAGCCGUACCGCGUGGGUGAAGAAGGCCUUCGGGUUGUAAAGCCCUUUUGUUGGGAAAGAAAAGCAGCAGGUUAAUACCCCGCUGUUCUGACGGUACCCAAAGAAUAAGCACCGGCUAACUUCGUG
RNAcentral lists this ribosomal RNA (492 nucleotides) under uncultured bacterium. RNAcentral describes it as "partial 16S ribosomal RNA". It matches the Rfam family "Bacterial small subunit ribosomal RNA", at positions 29 to 507 of the family's 1533-position model. The record is from RNAcentral.